Molecule: transfer RNA, 78 nt
Filed under: Puccinia triticina 1-1 BBBD Race 1
Lineage: Eukaryota; Fungi; Basidiomycota; Pucciniomycetes; Pucciniales; Pucciniaceae
Description: tRNA-Leu (TAG) (tRNA-Leu-TAG-2-1)
Rfam family: tRNA
About the family: Transfer RNA (tRNA) molecules are approximately 80 nucleotides in length.
Source: RNAcentral
GGGCAGAUGGCCGAGUGGUCUAAGGCGCUAGUUUUAGGCACUAGUCUUCGGGCGUGGGUUCAAAUCCCACUCUGCCCA